This 69-nucleotide transfer RNA is filed under the name Anguis graeca (Greek slow worm). RNAcentral's name for it is "tRNA-Met". It matches the Rfam family "tRNA". From Rfam's summary of the family: Transfer RNA (tRNA) molecules are approximately 80 nucleotides in length. Lineage: Eukaryota; Metazoa; Chordata; Lepidosauria; Squamata; Anguidae. The record is from RNAcentral.
AAUAAAGUCAGCUAAAUAAGCUCUCGGGCCCAUACCCCGAAAAUGUUGGUUAAACCCCCCCCUUUAUUA